UGCAAGUCGAACGGUAACAGGAAGAAGCUUGCUUCUUUGCUGACGAGUGGCGGACGGGUGAGUAAUGUCUGGGAAACUGCCUGAUGGAGGGGGAUAACUACUGGAAACGGUAGCUAAUACCGCAUAACGUCGCAAGACCAAAGAGGGGGACCUUCGGGCCUCUUGCCAUCGGAUGUGCCCAGAUGGGAUUAGCUAGUAGGUGGGGUAACGGCUCACCUAGGCGACGAUCCCUAGCUGGUCUGAGAGGAUGACCAGCCACACUGGAACUGAGACACGGUCCAGACUCCUACGGGAGGCAGCAGUGGGGAAUAUUGCACAAUGGGCGCAAGCCUGAUGCAGCCAUGCCGCGUGUAUGAAGAAGGCCUUCGGGUUGUAAAGUACUUUCAGCGGGGAGGAAGGGAGUAAAGUUAAUACCUUUGCUCAUUGACGUUACCCGCAGAAGAAGCACCGGCUAACUCCGUGCCAGCAGCCGCGGUAAUACGGAGGGUGCAAGCGUUAAUCGGAAUUACUGGGCGUAAAGCGCACGCAGGCGG
RNAcentral lists this ribosomal RNA (533 nucleotides) under uncultured bacterium. RNAcentral's name for it is "bacterial SSU rRNA". It matches the Rfam family "Bacterial small subunit ribosomal RNA", at positions 56 to 578 of the family's 1533-position model. The record is from RNAcentral.